This 494-nucleotide ribosomal RNA is filed under the name uncultured bacterium. RNAcentral describes it as "bacterial SSU rRNA". It matches the Rfam family "Bacterial small subunit ribosomal RNA", at positions 903 to 1397 of the family's 1533-position model. The record is from RNAcentral.
AAAGGAAUAGACGGGCACCCGCACAAGCGGUGGAGCAUGCUGUUUAAUUCGACGAUACGCGAUAAACCUUACCAGGGUUUGACAUCCCUUUGCCAGUCUUAGAAAUAAGAUCUUCCCUUCGGGGACAAAGGUGACAGGUGGUGCAUGGUUGUCGUCAGCUCGUGUCGUGAGAUGUUUGGUUAAGUCCAAUAACGAGCGCAACCCUUUUCCUUAGUUGCUAACAUUUAGUUGAGUACUUUAAGGAUACUGCCGGUGAUAAAUCGGAGGAAGGUGGGGAUGACGUCAAAUCAUCAUGCCCCUUACGUCCUGGGCUACAGGCGUGCUACAAUGGCCGGUAUAACGAGAGGCAAUAUCGUGAGAUGGAGCAAAUCUUUAAAGCUGGUCUCAGUUCGGAUUGAAGUCUGCAAUUCGACUUCAUGAAGAUGGAAUCGCUAGUAAUCCCGAAUCAGAAUGUCGGGGUGAAUACGUUCUCGGGUGUUGCACACACCGCCCGU